This 147-nucleotide unclassified non-coding RNA is filed under the name soil metagenome. RNAcentral describes it as "partial internal transcribed spacer 1". The record is from RNAcentral.
CCGAGUUUACAACUCCCAAACCCCUGUGAACAUACCACUUGUUGCCUCGGCGGAUCAGCCCGCUCCCGGUAAAACGGGACGGCCCGCCAGAGGACCCCUAAACUCUGUUUCUAUAUGUAACUUCUGAGCAAAACCAUAAAUAAAUCA